UGGGGAAUUUUGGACAAUGGGCGAAAGCCUGAUCCAGCAAUGCCGCGUGUGUGAAGAAGGCCUUCGGGUUGUAAAGCACUUUUGUCCGGAAAGAAAUCCUUGGCUCUAAUACAGUCGGGGGAUGACGGUACCGGAAGAAUAAGCACCGGCUAACUACGUGCCAGCAGCCGCGGUAAUACGUAGGGUGCAAGCGUUAAUCGGAAUUACUGGGCGUAAAGCGUGCGCAGGCGGUUUGCUAAGACCGAUGUGAAAUCCCCGGGCUCAACCUGGGAACUGCAUUGGUGACUGGCAGGCUAGAGUAUGGCAGAGGGGGGUAGAAUUCCACGUGUAGCAGUGAAAUGCGUAGAGAUGUGGAGGAAUACCGAUGGCGAAGGCAGCCCCCUGGGCCAAUACUGACGCUCAUGCACGAAAGCGUGGGGAGCAAACAGGAUUAGAUACCCCUGGUAGUCCCACGCCCUAAACGAUGUCAACUAGUUGUUGGGGAUUCAUUCCUUAGUAACGUAGCUAACGCGUGAAGUU
This 519-nucleotide ribosomal RNA is filed under the name uncultured bacterium. Its description in RNAcentral is "partial 16S ribosomal RNA". It matches the Rfam family "Bacterial small subunit ribosomal RNA", at positions 355 to 866 of the family's 1533-position model. The record is from RNAcentral.